Molecule: unclassified non-coding RNA, 281 nt
Filed under: Arabidopsis thaliana (thale cress)
Lineage: Eukaryota; Viridiplantae; Streptophyta; Magnoliopsida; Brassicales; Brassicaceae
Description: partial MIR172b microRNA precursor
Source: RNAcentral
GCACCUCUCACUCCCUUUCUCUAACUAGUCUUGUGUGCACCCAUUUAUGUGUACGUACUAUUAUCUCAUAAAUAAAUAUUUUUAAAAUUAGAUGCAUUUAUUGAUAUGAAAAAGUUACAAGAUUAGUUUGUUGUGUGUGAGACUUUGGAUCGACAGAUCGAAAAAUUAACUAACCGGACCACUUAUAAGUUGACACGUCAGCCCUUGGAUUCGUGAGAUACUCGAUCUCUUGUGCGUGCGUAAAUUUUAUACAAGUUGUCGGCGGAUCCAUGGAAGAAAGC